CCUACGGGAGGCAGCAGUAGGGAAUAUUGGACAAUGGGCGAAAGCCUGAUCCAGCAAUGCCGCGUGAGUGAUGAAGGCCUUAGGGUCGUAAAGCUCUUUUACCAGGGAUGAUAAUGACAGUACCUGGAGAAUAAGCUCCGGCUAACCCCGUGCCAGCAGCCGCGGUAAUACGGAGGGAGCUAGCGUUGUUCGGAAUUACUGGGCGUAAAGCGUACGUAGGCGGUUAUUCAAGUCAGAGGUGAAAGCCCGGGGCUCAACCCCGGAACUGCCUUUGAAACUAGGUAGCUAGAAUCUUGGAGAGGUCAGUGGAAUUCCGAGUGUAGAGGUGAAAUUCGUAGAUAUUCGGAAGAACACCAGUGGCGAAGGCGACUGACUGGACAAGUAUUGACGCUGAGGUACGAAAGCGUGGGGGGCGAAACAGGAUUAGAUACCCUGGUAGUCCACGCCGUAAACGAUGAUAACUAGCUGUUCGGGCACUUGGUGCUUGAGUGGCGCAGCUAACGCAUUAAGUUAUCCGCCUGGGGAGUACGGUCGCAGAUUAAAACUCAAAGGAAUUGACGG
RNAcentral lists this ribosomal RNA (561 nucleotides) under uncultured bacterium. RNAcentral describes it as "bacterial SSU rRNA". It matches the Rfam family "Bacterial small subunit ribosomal RNA", at positions 338 to 916 of the family's 1533-position model. The record is from RNAcentral.